UACGUAGGGGGCAAGCGUUGUCCGGACUUACUGGGCGUAAAGCGCGCGCAGGCGGACCUGUAUGUGCCGUGUGAAAGCGCCGGACUUACUUCGGCGAGGUCAUGGUAGACAGCAGGUCUGGAGCCUCGGAGAGGUCGGUGGAAUUCCCGGUGUAGUGGUGAAAUGCGUAGAUAUCGGGAGGAACACCAGUGGCGAAGGCGACUACCUGGCCUGUUCUUGACGCUGAGGCGCGAAAGCUAGGGGAGCAAACGGG
RNAcentral lists this ribosomal RNA (253 nucleotides) under uncultured bacterium. RNAcentral describes it as "partial 16S ribosomal RNA". It matches the Rfam family "Bacterial small subunit ribosomal RNA", at positions 524 to 776 of the family's 1533-position model. The record is from RNAcentral.